This 264-nucleotide ribosomal RNA is filed under the name uncultured archaeon. RNAcentral describes it as "partial 16S ribosomal RNA". It matches the Rfam family "Archaeal small subunit ribosomal RNA", at positions 717 to 982 of the family's 1478-position model. The record is from RNAcentral.
AGUCACUGACAUUAGAUACCCGUGUAGUCCAGGGUGUAAACGCUGCAGACUUGGUGCUGGAGGCCCUUUGGGGGCAUUCAGUGCCGGAGAGAAGUUGUUAAGUCUGCUACUUGGGGAGUACGUCCGCAAGGAUGAAACUUAAAGGAAUUGGCGGGGGAGCACCGCAACGGGAGGAGCGUGCGGUUUAAUUGGAUUCAACACCGUAAACUCACCAGGGAAGACUGUUACAUGAAGGCCGAGAUGAAGACUCUGCUAGAUUUUCAG